AACGAACGCUGGCGGCGUGCCUAACACAUGCAAGUCGAGCGAGAAAGGGGAGCAAUCCCCGAGUAAAGCGGCAGACGGGUGAGUAACACGUGGGUAAUCUGCCCUCGGGCGGGGAAUAACAUCUCGAAAGAGGUGCUAAUACCGCAUAACAUCCAUGGACCUGUGGGUUCGUGGAUCAAAGGUGGGGAUCUUCGGACCUACCACUCGAGGAGGAGCCCGCGCCUGAUUAGCUAGNGGUGGGGUAAUGGCCUACCAAGGCGACGAUCAGUAGCCGGCCUGAGAGGGUGAACGGCCACACUGGAACUGAGACACGGUCCAGACUCCGUACGGGAGGCAGCAGUG
Molecule: ribosomal RNA, 342 nt
Filed under: uncultured bacterium
Lineage: Bacteria
Description: bacterial SSU rRNA
Rfam family: Bacterial small subunit ribosomal RNA
Source: RNAcentral